AGAGGGGUGCCGACAAGGCACCCAGCGCGUCGUCCUCUCUGCUCCUCUCCUCACUCCCCCCUCCUCUUUGCUCCCCACUUCCCUAACCCUAGCCCCUUUCUACGCCGCCGCCGCCCGUUCCCUCGCCCUCUCCUGGCGCCACCCCCGUCCCUCCUCUCUCGUCACACAGCCGCCCCGCCACCCACCGCCUCGAACCGCGAGCGGAGGGAGGACGAUGAGCACGACGGCGACGGUGGCAGGGAGCAGUAGCAGCAGCAGGCCUUGGGCAACGCCGACGAGCGACGAGCAGCAGCGGAAGGAGGACGAGGAGCACGAAGGCAGCGGUGGCAGGGAAGUGGUGUAGGGCGCCGCCAGGGCCGUGCUGGAGCGGCUCGACGUGCCGGCCACGUGCUCCGAGGAGCCGGCUUCUAGCAAGGUGAGCCCCCUUUGCUUGGAUCUGCCUAUGCUAGAUCUGUCCAGGAUUUAUGCGAUUAGAUCUCCCGUCGUUGCUCACUCCCAUCCUACCCUCUCUAUUCAGUUCCCCCCUCUCAAGCCAUUUGAACUGAAUUUUGUAGCACUUGGUAAGGUACAGAAAAGAACAUGUACUAUGUAUUAGCAUAUUUGCUAUUGGCUUGAUCAAACUUCGGUUGUAUAAUAAUAAUCUUUGUGGUAAUGAGUAUAAGUGGCAGCGAAUGUUCUUUCUCUUUUACUUUAGAAUGGACAUACUAAAACAUCAGUUUAUUCCUACUGAAUUACUUUUGACCUAUGAAAAACCAUGUGUGUUAUUUGACCUUUUAGAUAAUAAUGUGAGAUGUGUGCAUUGCUUCAUGCUUCAGGUUAUUCUGAAGUCUGUGCUUCGUGACAAGUUGGAACUAUUGCCUUUGGCCAUAUUUCAUGGGAUGUUGUACUUUUUUGCGGGGUCAAGUAACAUGUAUGAACAUUAUUGAUGGUCCUGCUUGCACUCAUGGUUAAGUGAACCUGACAGGUUCCACUAGCUCCGUUGCCGAUACUGACUGAAUUUUCACCUUUUUUACCAUUCAUGGAUUAAUGGCUCGGAUGAAUGCACCAACAAUAGCCCCCUGGAAAACGAAAUUCCAACUUUGAUUACAUGGAGUCCAGGAGGAAAUGAGGUCGUUUCUGGACGGAUCAUGGGAUAACUGGACAUCAAGGUUUACUCUUUAGCUGAUCUGCUAUUGAAAUGUUUUAUGCAGUUCUGGAAAUGACAUGCGAAAAUACUAAAAAAUCGAUAUGAUUACUUCAAGAAGGUGUUAGAGAGAUCUGGGAAAGAUCAUGCUGUAUCGUUGGUUCUGACAUCUCGAAUAUAUCAUUGCAAGAUGAUUGUUGAUGGGGUGCCGAGACAUAUGUCUGAACUACCUCAUGUGACUGAUGAAAGAGGGCAGGUGGCCGACCCCCUUGAUAUCCAUGCCAGUAAGGAUUAUAUAUGUCCGUUUUAGCAUUUUGUUCAUAUAUAUGCCAUUCAGUAAUGACUGCAGUCUCUAGAUUUGGAUUCAGAGAUACUGUAGUGUGUGCCCUAUGCUGAAUAUUAUAAUUGUAGGAGCUUGCAGUCAAGCUGAUUUAUUGUCUCGAGAAGUGGGCAUUGGGAGUUGUUAAUUGGCUGAACAUGUACCUUCUGGGAGUUGUUUUAUUUGAUGGUCUGGUAAGUGACUUGCUUCCAGCAAUGGUUAGUUGUUUUUAUAUUUUGUUACGGCUACUAGAUGGGUGAUUGAGAUUGAGACUGUAUUCAACUGUUGAUUUUCUUGAUGUGCCUAAAUUUGGUAUGAGGUGUUUGUGUGUUUGGAUGCUCUUCAACUUUUCUGGUUAUACUAGAUACUAAUCUACAAUUCUAUAUAUGCCAUGCUAUUUGACUUUUCAUUUUCUUGAUCUACCUGAAUUGGUACUAUAGAGAUGUCUGAUGUAUGCGUGCGCGUGUGUGUGUGUUUAGGCAGUUUAGCCUCCUAUUCGUUUCCACACUUGGUUUUGCUUUUAGGAGAAUCAAGGAGGUUCUGUUAGGAGAAUUUCCUUUUGGUUUCCAUGGUUAAUUAAUCCUGGGACUAUUCAAAAAUGUAGAUAUCUUCGGUAUAUAUCUAAAGAAUUGUGUGUUCAUGGGCAACUAUACGUUGUUUUGUCUCAUGUACAUCAAGAGAAUUGCUAAAAAUACUUACUGAAGAUGAAAAUGUAGAUUGUACUACUGAAACUCAAAAUAUUGUUUACCCUUGGGGCCUUCUGAGAUAUCAGUGUACCAUCGUGGUGUUAUAUUUUGCAUUGUGUUGUCUUUUUUAUUAGUUUCAGGUUCAGCUGCCUUCGUAUGUGCAUAUUCUUUUGGUAUAAUCAUAGAACGAGAUAGUCGAUUCGUCUUCUUUUGCCGUUUGGGAUGAUACUUUCGUCCGAAUAAUAAAUGAUUGGAUGUAGGGAGAGGGGCUGUAUCUCGAUACCCUGUCCUCAUCAUGCUAAUUGCAUGUAAUCUUUUUCUCUUUCAUAUAUCUGUUGGUAGUUUUUCUUUUUGAGGUUGUUAUGUCCUCUCCUGAUUAUUCCUGUCCCGAUGAUUAAUUCUAAGAGAAUUGCUUCGGUACCCCCCCCACCCCGCAACAAAACAUAGAAGGGCAGAAAGGUCAUAUGGAAGAAAUGUAUACCCACCUCGUAUCGUAGAUGUACAAUCCCGGUCAUACGAAUAAACGUGACUAAGAAGGAAAAAAAACUUGCACGACCACUUGAUCGAUCCUGCUUGCCGCCUGACUAGAGAAAAAAAAACGCUGAUCGAUCAGGCCUGCUGCACGGCGAUCACGCGGUGGCUGAUCUGGAUCGUCGCGGGUGGGAUGAGGAGUGGAAGACUGCUGUCGCCGGUGGCUGGCCAAGUGUUGGACGUUGCCGUUCUCCGCGUCGACGGCCGCCUCUAACCACCCCAAUCUCCCAUGCCGGUGGUUCCAACCCCGUCGUCUCCCACAUCAUGGUCGGCGGUUAGGCAAGUGGCCGGCCACGUCUUGGACAUCUCUGUCUUCCGCAACGACGCUGCGUUCGCCGCAUGUAACCGUCCGGACGUCCCAUGGAGCCUACCACACUCGUCCAAAAUGCCGACGUUGACC
This 3059-nucleotide ribosomal RNA is filed under the name Triticum aestivum (bread wheat). RNAcentral's name for it is "partial small subunit ribosomal RNA". Lineage: Eukaryota; Viridiplantae; Streptophyta; Magnoliopsida; Poales; Poaceae. The record is from RNAcentral.